CGUGGCCUCCCGGCUCUCCAGGUCCUCUGGGAUGUUUGGCGUGGGCCGAGGCGCCUCCUCCUCCUCACUGUCCAGAUGUUCUCCUCCAUCUCCUGUGGGGAGGUGGCCAGAGGGGUCCUCAGACAACCCAACAAGGAAGAGAGAAGCAAUCAGUGGCCAUCCACUGCAGCUGGAGACACCAGACCUUGGUGUCUGCCUCCCAUAUCACCAGGAAGCGUGGAGGCAGGAAGAGGAAGACAGAGCUCUUGCCACAGGGAGGCCGAGAUGGCACAGCAGGAGGCACGCCCCCAGAAUGCCACCAAUGUCCCAGGACAG
Long non-coding RNA from Homo sapiens (human), 315 nucleotides. RefSeq lists it as uncharacterized. Lineage: Eukaryota; Metazoa; Chordata; Mammalia; Primates; Hominidae. The record is from RefSeq and is a predicted model, not a curated record. The transcript has 3 exons.